RNAcentral lists this ribosomal RNA (253 nucleotides) under uncultured bacterium. RNAcentral's name for it is "partial 16S ribosomal RNA". It matches the Rfam family "Bacterial small subunit ribosomal RNA", at positions 524 to 776 of the family's 1533-position model. The record is from RNAcentral.
UACAGAGGGUGCAAGCGUUGUUCGGAAUUAUUGGGCGUAAAGGGAGUGUAGGCGGGUUGUUAAGUCUUCUGUGAAAUCUACGGGCUCAGCCUGUAAAGUGCAGAGGAAACUGGCGAGCUUGAGUGUCGGAGAGGAUAGGGGAAUACCCGGUGUAGAGGUGAAAUUCGUAGAGAUCGGGUGGAACACCAGUGGCGAAGGCGCCUAUCUGGCUGACAACUGACGCUGAGACUCGAAAGCAUGGGGAGCAAACAGG